GCAGUCGUGGCCGAGUGGUUAAGGCGAUGGACUCGAAAUCCAUUGGGGAUUCCCCGCACAGGUUCGAAUCCUGUCGGCUGCG
This 82-nucleotide transfer RNA is filed under the name Parasteatoda tepidariorum (common house spider). RNAcentral's name for it is "transfer RNA serine (anticodon CGA)". It matches the Rfam family "tRNA". From Rfam's summary of the family: Transfer RNA (tRNA) molecules are approximately 80 nucleotides in length. Their secondary structure includes four short double-helical elements and three loops (D, anti-codon, and T loops). The record is from RNAcentral. Lineage: Eukaryota; Metazoa; Arthropoda; Arachnida; Araneae; Theridiidae.